This 325-nucleotide ribosomal RNA is filed under the name uncultured Omnitrophica bacterium. RNAcentral describes it as "bacterial SSU rRNA". It matches the Rfam family "Bacterial small subunit ribosomal RNA", at positions 29 to 351 of the family's 1533-position model. Lineage: Bacteria; Pseudomonadati; Candidatus Omnitrophota. The record is from RNAcentral.
AGUGAACGCUGGCGGCGUGGUUUAGGCAUGCAAGUCGAACGAUACCGCAAGGUAUAGUGGCAAAAGGGUGCGUAACGCGUGAGUAAUCUACCUUUAAGUGGGGAAUAACCCUGGGAAACCGGGGCUAAAACCGCAUAUGACCAAGGCCCGGAAUCGGGCUGUGGUAAAAGAUGGGGACCGUAAGGCCUGUCGCUUAGAGAUGAGCUCGCGUCCUAUCAGCUUGUUGGCGGGUAACGGCCCACCAAGGCUUUUGACGGGUAGCUGGUCUGAGAGGAUGGUCAGCCACAUUGGGACUGAGACACUGCCCAGACUCCUACGGGUGCUG